UAGCUCAGUCAGUAAAGAAUCUGCCUGCAAUGCAGGAGACCCAGGUUCGAUUCCUGG
Non-coding RNA from Bos taurus (domestic cattle), 57 nucleotides. NCBI's taxonomy places the organism in Eukaryota, Metazoa, Chordata, Mammalia, Artiodactyla, Bovidae. The record is from Rfam.